UUUUAAAUUUCGUUAGCUCUAUUAAAUUAAAAUUAACGAAUCGAUAACGAAAACUGACAAAAUAAACCAAAACUGACAAAACAAAUCAUGUGUUUGACAUGGAUGGAUGGAAAGCAAUAAAUAAAAAAAUAAAUACAUUGUCAGCAUAGUUAAAAAAAUUAAAAAAAACAACCCUCCUUCCUAAAUGUCUCCGCCGACCAGCUCCUUCAGUUGAGUCUCCUCCUGCUAUUGUUUCACAUCUGGAAGCUGUUGACUCUUAUCCUGCUAUUGUUCCACAUAAA
RNAcentral lists this long non-coding RNA (281 nucleotides) under Linum usitatissimum (flax). RNAcentral describes it as "long non-coding RNA (LUSI_LNC006162)". The record is from RNAcentral. Lineage: Eukaryota; Viridiplantae; Streptophyta; Magnoliopsida; Malpighiales; Linaceae.